UUUGGUCUUGAUAAUCCUCUAGUUUGGAAUAUGAUUUUGUGAACGGUAGCAUGCAAAAGUAGUGUAAUUCCACUAGGUUUAGCAUACUCAAGUAGAUCGGCAGCCGUGUGCCGACGGCCGGCGGCAUCGAAAAUCGUGCCCCCAAUUUUAGUUCCAUUAAUAUGAUCGUACGUAAAUCCAUUGUACGGCACCACCCCUGACUCCACAAGACCGUCGCGCACGGCGGACUGCCACUGCCUCACCGGCGGCUGAAACGCCACUUUAUUUUCCACCCAAACAUACGAUUCGUUCACGAGUUGUCCGUCCCAUCCAACGCUGCUCACAUACUUUGUGCCGGCGCGUGAGUAAAAUCCGGCGUUUAAACAACUUCCGCCGCCCAAAACGCGUGCACGCGCGUUGAUUACACCGUCCUCGGAGAUGAAUCGCUGAGAUGGCGAUUUCGGUGAGAGAUCGGAAAGUGCAGAUCCGAAUGCCGAUAAAUAUGUGAUAUUAGGAUUUCCGUAAGGUGAACCACCGCGCUCUAGUAGAAGUACGUCGUAGUUCUGAGAGAGCGUGGCGGCUAAUGGGCAGCCAGCGGUGCCGCCGCCGAUGAUUAUGUAAUCGUAAUGUGAUAUCUCCGG
This 620-nucleotide unclassified non-coding RNA is filed under the name Hevea brasiliensis (rubber tree). The record is from RNAcentral. Lineage: Eukaryota; Viridiplantae; Streptophyta; Magnoliopsida; Malpighiales; Euphorbiaceae.